This 492-nucleotide ribosomal RNA is filed under the name uncultured bacterium. RNAcentral's name for it is "partial 16S ribosomal RNA". It matches the Rfam family "Bacterial small subunit ribosomal RNA", at positions 29 to 507 of the family's 1533-position model. The record is from RNAcentral.
AGUGAACGCUGGCGGUAGGCCUAACACAUGCAAGUCGAACGGCAGCACAGUAAGAGCUUGCUCUUACGGGUGGCGAGUGGCGGACGGGUGAGGAAUACAUCGGAAUCUACUUUUUCGUGGGGGAUAACGUAGUGAAACUUACGCUAAUACCGCAUACGACCUACGGGUGAAAGCAGGGGAUCUUCGGACCUUGCGCGAUUGAAUGGGCCGAUGUCGGAUUAGCUAGUUGGCGGGGUAAAGGCCCACCAAGGCGACGAUCCGUAGCUGGUCUGAGAGGAUGAUCAGCCACACUGGAACUGAGACACGGUCCAGACUCCUACGGGAGGCAGCAGUGGGGAAUAUUGGACAAUGGGCGCAAGCCUGAUCCAGCCAUACCGCGUGGGUGAAGAAGGCCUUCGGGUUGUAAAGCCCUUUUGUUGGGAAAGAAAAGCAGCAGGUUAAUACCCCGCUGUUCUGACGGUACCCAAAGAAUAAGCACCGGCUAACUUCGUG